GAUGAACGCUGGCGGCGUGCCUAACACAUGCAAGUCGAGCGAUUCUCUUCGGAGAAGAGCGGCGGACGGGUGAGUAACGCGUGGGUAGCCUGCCCUGUACACACGGAUAACAUACCGAAAGGUAUGCUAAUACGAGAUAAUAUGCUUUUAUCGCAUGGUAGAAGUAUCAAAGCUCCGGCGGUACAGGAUGGACCCGCGUCUGAUUAGCUAGUUGGUAAGGUAACGGCUUACCAAGGCGACGAUCAGUAGCCGACCUGAGAGGGUGAUCGGCCAGAUUGGAACUGAGACACGGUCCAAACUCCUACGGGAGGCAGCAGUGGGGAAUAUUGCACAAUGGGCGAAAGCCUGAUGCAGCAACGCCGCGUGAGCGAUGAAGGCCUUCGGGUCGUAAAGCUCUGUCCUCAAGGAAGAUAAUGACGGUACUUGAGGAGGAAGCCCCGGCUAACUACGUGCCAGCAGCCGCGGUAA
This 468-nucleotide ribosomal RNA is filed under the name uncultured bacterium. RNAcentral describes it as "partial 16S ribosomal RNA". It matches the Rfam family "Bacterial small subunit ribosomal RNA", at positions 28 to 523 of the family's 1533-position model. The record is from RNAcentral.